Molecule: long non-coding RNA, 899 nt
Filed under: Helianthus annuus (common sunflower)
Lineage: Eukaryota; Viridiplantae; Streptophyta; Magnoliopsida; Asterales; Asteraceae
Description: hypothetical non coding rna
Source: RNAcentral
UUGAAAUUCGAGCUCGAAUUCUAAUCGAGUCGAGCUCGAGCCUCAAAUCUCAGCUCGAUUUGAAAUUCGAGCUCGAGCCGAGCCAACUCGAAUCGAGUUCGAGCCGAGCCAGCUCGAAUCGAGUUCGAGCCAAGCUCGAGCUGGGUCUAGCUCGGCUCGACUCGGCUCGUUUACAGCCCUAAAGAUAACAUAUUUUCAACUCAUCCAAAAAAGGAAGACUUAAACAAGACAUAACAAAGUAAACGACAGAAAAAACUAAAAAUACCAAUUGUGAAAAAAACAAAAAAGGAAUUCAAAAAUAGUUUGGCUUCCUCGACUAAAACGUAUGGAUAUAAAUUUUGUCUCUACAUCUCUCGCUUUUCCUUACCAACAACCAAUCACAGAAUGAUAACUUACUUUUCCCAAUACAUCUUUAAGACUAUCUCCAAUGCUAAGGGAGCCCUUAGACGUCCUUAGCUGCCACAUCAUAUCCUUACAAAUCUUUAAAUACUUCAAUUUCAUCUCCAACCAUACAAAUAUUCUUACAUAUCCUUACAUUUUCCACAUCAUUACCUAUUUUUUCUUUUAAAUUAAUUAAAGCUGGUAAACAAUCAAUUGGUUAAUGCCACUAAAAUAAAUAAAAAAAAUUGAAAAUAUAUAGGGAAACCGGCUUGGGCUUUUUAUGAUUGGGUUAUAAUGAAUUAAUCAUCAUUAUAUAUAUAGGGGAAGAUUCAAAUGAAAACCACUUUUAUUGUGAAAACUCGAAAACUAACUAAAAAAAGCCUAAAAAACACACUUUUUUUUUAAUUUUUUUAUAAAAAUCGCAGGUUUUUUUAUAUAAAAAAUAAAAUUUUUCAAAAAAAAAAAAUUUGUAGUACACAUGUGUAAUACACAUACACAUGUGUAUGGUUUUCAUUUGA